Molecule: ribosomal RNA, 405 nt
Filed under: uncultured bacterium
Lineage: Bacteria
Description: bacterial SSU rRNA
Rfam family: Bacterial small subunit ribosomal RNA
Source: RNAcentral
GGGGAAUAUUGGACAAUGGGCGAAAGCCUGAUCCAGCAACGCCGCGUGAGGGAUGACGGCCUUCGGGUUGUAAACCUCUUUCACCUCUGACGAAGCGAAAGUGACGGUAAGGGGAGAAGAAGGACCGGCCAACUACGUGCCAGCAGCCGCGGUAAUACGUAGGGUCCGAGCGUUGUCCGGAAUUAUUGGGCGUAAAGGGCUCGUAGGCGGUUUGUCGCGUCGGGAGUGAAAACCAGGUGCUUAACACCUGGCUUGCUUCCGAUACGGGCAGACUAGAGGUAUGCAGGGGAGAAUGGAAUUCCUGGUGUAGCGGUGAAAUGCGCAGAUAUCAGGAGGAACACCGGUGGCGAAGGCGGUUCUCUGGGCAUUACCUGACGCUGAGGAGCGAAAGUGUGGGGAGCGAAC